GGGGGGAUAGCUCAUUUGGCUAGAGCGCCUGCCUUGCACGCAGGAGGCGGUGGGUUCGAAUCCCAUUCUCUCCACCA
Molecule: transfer RNA, 77 nt
Filed under: Mycoplasmopsis pullorum
Lineage: Bacteria; Bacillati; Mycoplasmatota; Mycoplasmoidales; Metamycoplasmataceae
Also listed under: 3 other names
Description: Mycoplasma pullorum tRNA-Ala
Rfam family: tRNA
About the family: Transfer RNA (tRNA) molecules are approximately 80 nucleotides in length. Their secondary structure includes four short double-helical elements and three loops (D, anti-codon, and T loops).
Source: RNAcentral